This 256-nucleotide ribosomal RNA is filed under the name uncultured bacterium. RNAcentral describes it as "partial 16S ribosomal RNA". It matches the Rfam family "Bacterial small subunit ribosomal RNA", at positions 793 to 1055 of the family's 1533-position model. The record is from RNAcentral.
GUCCACGCCGUAAACGAUGAGAACUAAGUGUUGGCCAAAAGGUCAGUGCUGCAGUUAACGCAUUAAGUUCUCCGCCUGAGUAGUACGUGCGCAAGCAUGAAACUCAAAGGAAUUGACGGGACCCCGCACAAGCGGUGGAUCAUGUUGUUUAAUUCGAAGAUACACGAAAAACCUUACCAGGUCUUGACAUACUCUGCAAAGGCUUAAGAAAUAAGUACGGAGGCUAACAGAUGUACAGGUGGUGCACGGUUGUCGU